GCCAAUAUUGUUUUACAACAAACAAAGUUUUCAUGCAUAUAAUUAAUAUAUCCAUACAGGAAAUCCACAUAAUUAAAAAAAAAAGCACGUACACUCAGUCACACUCGAGCUUCCCUUGCAUCAGUGAACCCCUACAAGCAUAUAUGGAGCCACGGGGAAGCCACCUUCACUCCAAGCACCCAUCAACCUCACCAUAUUUAGAUAAUAAUCACCUCAUGCAGCCUAUUCUAUCAUAACACACGAUACAAACCACCAAAGCUUUCACAUAUAUCUGAGAGGACUAUUAAGUAUCAGAGGUGGCCGCCCGGGGUUUCGCCGUGGCCGACACCGGGGCCAUGCCCAGGGUUGGUAGGUAGGGAAUCUCCAGCCGGGAAAUCGCCCAAUUGAGACUUGAAAUUUUCUAUGGGACAUGGUUGUUUCAUCUUGGUAGGAGAGUACUUUGGACAUAUUGGUGCACGCCUCUCCAGCAUCCUUGCACUAGUUGGAUGGAAGAGAAGCACAAGGAGAAUGAACGUUACAGAAGUUGCACUAAGAGAGAGGUUUCUCUCAACUACGGCCAUUGGUUAUGCUAAUGAUUGAUAGGUAGAGGUUAUGGAAGGAAUGGGAGAG
This 609-nucleotide long non-coding RNA is filed under the name Elaeis guineensis (African oil palm). Its description in RNAcentral is "long non-coding RNA (EGUI_LNC022851)". Lineage: Eukaryota; Viridiplantae; Streptophyta; Magnoliopsida; Arecales; Arecaceae. The record is from RNAcentral.